GGGAGUUUUUAACUCAAGUGGCGGACGGGUGAGUAACACGUAAGAAUUUACCUUUAGGAGGGGGAUAACAACUGGAAACGGUUGCUAAUACCCCAUAUGCUUUCGAGUGAAAUGGAUUUUUCCGCCUAAAGAGGAGCUUGCGGCUGAUUAGCUUGUUGGUAAGGUAAUGGCUUACCAAGGCGACGAUCAGUAUCUGGUUUGAGAGGACGAUCAGACACACUGGAACUGAGACACGGUCCAGACUCCUACGGGAGGCAGCAGUGGGGAAUUUUCCGCAAUGGGCGAAAGCCUGAUGCAGCAACGCCGCGUGCGGGACGAAGGCCUUCGGGUCGUAAACCGCUUUUCUGAGGGACGAGCAAGGACGGUACCUCAGGAAUAAGUCUCGGCUAACUACGUGCCAGCAGCCGCGGUAAAACGUAGGAGGCGAGCGUUAUCCGGAUUUACUGGGCGUAAAGCGUACGCAGGUGGCUGUGCAAGUCGGACAUGAAAGCUCCUGGCUUAACUGGGAGAGGUGGUUCGAAACUGCGCGGCUUGAGGUUGGGAGAGGGACGUGGAAUUCCCGGUGUAGUGGUGGAAUGCGUAGAUAUCGGGAGGAACACCAGUGGCGAAAGCGGCCUCCUGGAUCGUACCUGACGCUGAGAUGCGAAAGCUAGGGGAGCAAACAGGAUUAGA
RNAcentral lists this ribosomal RNA (672 nucleotides) under uncultured Chloroflexota bacterium. RNAcentral describes it as "bacterial SSU rRNA". It matches the Rfam family "Bacterial small subunit ribosomal RNA", at positions 78 to 782 of the family's 1533-position model. Lineage: Bacteria; Bacillati; Chloroflexota. The record is from RNAcentral.